RNAcentral lists this long non-coding RNA (324 nucleotides) under Centruroides sculpturatus (bark scorpion). RNAcentral describes it as "uncharacterized LOC111621309, transcript variant X2". The record is from RNAcentral. Lineage: Eukaryota; Metazoa; Arthropoda; Arachnida; Scorpiones; Buthidae.
AAAAGAUCCCACGCGCCGACAUUUUUCCACAAUGGACGCAAAAUAUGGACAAUUAACACGUUCCGGUCAAAGUUAACCGGAAGUCGAAACAAUAAAAUCUGUUUCUGCACACGCGGGAUUGAAAAUAAACGGAAAAGAUUAAAAUGCGAAAGAUUUGACACUUAAAGUCGUGAUGAAUCUUAAGUUUGAAGAGUCGAAAGCUGGACACUCCGUUUUUAAAGCCGAAAACUGCAAAUUUGUGCGCGUUUAAGCCACGUCUCCGCACAAAAAUGAAGAAUCGUUAGGAGAAGAGAAGAAAUAAAGCUUUAAAAUAUUAAUCUUUCG